UUCAUUUUGUUAUUUUAGAGGAGAAAAGUUGAAGAGCUUAUUAUAUAUAAGGUGUAAAAUGGAAUAAUUUUUGUAGUGCAUAUAUAUAGAGAAAGUGAGAUCAGAUUUGCAUGAGCGUUAGAGUAUGUAUUAAAGCAAAUAAUUAAUAUUGAGUAAUGCUAGGGAACCAAAAGUAUAUCAGCCAAAACCUAGUUAAAUGUGUUUGUGUUGGGACUUAAAAGCACAAUGCACAUUCAGCAUCAUCCAAAAAUAUUCAGGAAAAAUUAUAUUUAUCCUCACCAAAAAUCCUAUUUCCUUUUUACCGUUUUACCACACAGAAUUUAAAAAUUAUCUACACCUGCGCCACGCCUCCGGAACCAUCGCGCAACCCUCUUCUCUCUCUUUUUCGGACACCGCGACGCCGCUCUCAGCGGCUCUGGCCAUCGAGACUCCACUGAAGCUACCUAAGCGCAACCCUCUUCCCUCACUUCUUCAGCCGCUUCGACGUCGCACCUAGCCUCCCCGACCAUUGCGCCUCCAAAAUCGGAACAAGAGCAACGCUGCUCUGUUGUUGCAUGUGGGUUUUUUCCGGCGCUGUCGAAGCUUCCUGGUGCAGCUGCGCUGUCCGUCGGUGGACCUCCACUUCUCCAGCCUUGAAUUUUCAUGUUCGUCUUGCUAAUUGUUGUACAGAUCAGGUAACACAAUUUUGGAAUAUCACUGGUCCUUGACAAAUAUAGCAGCUGCAUGUGUUUUCUGUUUUUGGAGUGUUGCAAAAUCUUGAAUACAAUGUAAUUUUCUGGUUCUCAUUCUUUUACGGGGUCACAAAUUGACUUGAGUUUUCUUUGGGAGAAAAAUAAAAAGCAGCUCCCAACUGGUUCAUUAUGUAUAUGCCAUCCAUCUCUACGUGUCAACAGGAAUAAGAAACUACAAUGCAACUUUCUUGACGCAACUGUAACAUUGAUUUAAAAGGUUUAUCAUUUCAUGUUGCUGAUUUUCUCAAGUUGGUGGUGACAAUCAAUCGUAAACCUCUGAGUGGAUGGUUCUGGAUAUGUUUUGUGUUUUAUCAUGUUUAAGGCAUUUGAACUUGUUAGUACUUCGUUGAUGAGUAAGUGGCUCAUGUUUUGUUAGAUACUCGUCAGCAGGUUUCAUAUAUUAGUUAUUUCAGAAUUCUCAAGCAAUAAUUUUCCAAGUUAGUGAUAAGCCAUUCAUUGCAUAUUGAUAAUAUUGAGUGAACUCUGAUCUGUGUAUAUAAUUCUUUUGGUCAUGUCUAUGCUUAAGUGGCACUUCUGUCCAUUAACUAGCGUGGUGUUAACUAAAAGGAGGUGUUCUUUAAUUUUUUUUAUCAUUGUUUUCUAGUGCUGGAAUUGUGAAGUUGCUGGAAAUUAAAGCAUUGCACAGCCUCCGGUCGUGAUCAGGCUAUAGUAGGUAAGAUUUUAAGUGGAUGGUGUCUCUGGUAGGCACGCGGAUGUUUCUUCUCAUUGUAAAGUGGAUGGUUUUGUAUAUGAUUUCUUUGUUUCAUGUGUUACGUAUUAGCGACUGCAUGCACUUCAUUGAGAUAUCAAUACGUUUUGUAAAAUCCUAUGAUGAUAAAUCUAGAAAUGAUAUUUGAACUUUAGAAAA
Arachis stenosperma is the source of this 1599-nucleotide long non-coding RNA. RefSeq lists it as uncharacterized. NCBI's taxonomy places the organism in Eukaryota, Viridiplantae, Streptophyta, Magnoliopsida, Fabales, Fabaceae. The transcript has 4 exons. The record is from RefSeq and is a predicted model, not a curated record.